GGCCUAAUGGCCCAAUGGCAAGGCGCUUGACUACGAUUUCCCAAGUCUAAUCAAGAGAUUCCAGGUUCGACCCCUGGUUAGGUCA
This 85-nucleotide transfer RNA is filed under the name Exserohilum turcicum. Its description in RNAcentral is "tRNA-Arg". It matches the Rfam family "tRNA". Rfam says of the family: Transfer RNA (tRNA) molecules are approximately 80 nucleotides in length. Their secondary structure includes four short double-helical elements and three loops (D, anti-codon, and T loops). RNAcentral also lists the same sequence under 1 other name. The record is from RNAcentral. Lineage: Eukaryota; Fungi; Ascomycota; Dothideomycetes; Pleosporales; Pleosporaceae.